GCAGUAUCCUAACUGUGCUAAGGUAGCAUAAUCAUUAGUCUUUUAAUUGGAGACUGGUAUGAAUGGCUAAACGAGAAAUAGACUUUUUUUGUUAUAAAAAUCGAAUUUAAUUUUUUAGUGAAAAAGCUAAAAUUAUUCAGAAAGACGAGAAGACCCUAUAGAGUUUUAUGUUUUACAACUACUUUUCUUAUUUGAUUUUCUUAGAUUAAUAGUUUACAAGCAUUUUGUUGGGGCGACAUUAAGAUAUUUAAAACUCUUUAUUUUAAAAAUUUUUAUGGAAAGUUAGUUUGAUCCUUUUAAAAAGAUCAAAAGAAAAAAUUACCUUAGGGAUAACAGCGUAAUCUUUUUUGAGAGUUCUAAUCGACAAAAAGGUUUGCGACCUCGAUGUUGGACUAAAAUUUAGGCAGGGUGCAGCAGUUCUGCUUUUAGGUCUGUUCGACCUAUA
RNAcentral lists this ribosomal RNA (445 nucleotides) under Acastinae sp. MM-2014. RNAcentral's name for it is "partial 16S ribosomal RNA". It matches the Rfam family "Bacterial large subunit ribosomal RNA", at positions 1933 to 2590 of the family's 2925-position model. The record is from RNAcentral. Lineage: Eukaryota; Metazoa; Arthropoda; Thecostraca; Balanomorpha; Balanidae.